Molecule: long non-coding RNA, 2102 nt
Organism: Episyrphus balteatus (marmalade hoverfly)
Lineage: Eukaryota; Metazoa; Arthropoda; Insecta; Diptera; Syrphidae
Exons: 5
Source: RefSeq, a predicted model, not a curated record
CGCGAGCAGCGUGCAGCGUACCAGGCUUUAAUGUUGUUCUAUGUGAAGUAAUUUUUAAAAAUGCCAAAAUUUCUUUUGUACAUUGUUUUAUAUAAAAUUUUAAAUAAAAGACAUUUGUUUUUUAUACACAAUUAUAGUAUAUUGGUAUGUGUCUGUUUUAUUUUGCUUCAAAUUUUAUUACUUAAUAUUAUACAUUCUAACUAACAAUGACAUUAAGGUAAAUAAUAGGUGUGUUUUUUAUUACCACCGGUCUUAACUGGACAAAAAAACGCAGUCUGGGCUAAGCAAUUUACAUGUUAAAUACAACAACACUUUAGCCCCUUGGGCUUAGUUGUUUAGCCCGGAGAAUUCUUUGGGCUUAACUUUUUGAAGAGUUUUAAAUCUGUGCUACCAAACCAUAAAUUGUUUAGAAUUUGUUUAGAAACGUCAAAACUGACGUUUGAAAUGACAAAAUAAAAUAAAAAAAAAAAACAACUAAAAAAAGAAUUACAUUUUUUUAAACUGAAAACAAAAUCUUCAAAAACUAAUUACCUGAAGUUAAUCGCACAAUUUCAUCUAUGUAUUCCCUUAAACUUAUACGUCUUUGUUAAUAUUCAAUUUCAAUCAGGUAUGCCUUGCCUAUUACAUCAAUCUUACAAUCUUUUUUUAAAUUCAUCAUACAUACAUUAUAUCUGACGACGAAAAUAAUUUGCUGAAGAUGAGCACAUUGAACCGCCCUAUUCAGUCCAGCUACACUUGGUCUACAUCGUGUCGGUACCAAUCGAAGAUGAACAUGUGGGUUGCGAUGAAAAUCAUAAAACACUGUUUGCUAGAAAAACAAUUUGUUUUUAUGACAAAGAAACAUUUCCAUUGCUCUUUGGGGGUGGAUUUGUAUUUUUUAUGGAAAUCCAAAUUAAAACUAAAAAACGAGCCGCUAAUCACACAACGCUUGCAGCAGCAUCUGAAAUGACUCCACAAUCAAAGUCCAGUCUCAGCAACAGUAAUUAUGUGAAGCAGCGCAACAACAACAGCAUAAGCAAUUGCUGGGCAAUUGCCAAGACACCAGAUUAUGUAGCUGUGUACAGCGCUCAAUGGACUUAGUAAGCCAGGAAGCAUAUCCAGGUUAUGGUUAUCCCCGCAGUCCACAACCAGGGAUACCUAUUAGUCUCCAAGCUGGCGCAGACGGUCCUUCCAAGUUCCAAUCCUCAGCAGCAUAAACCCAACAGCAAGCCAAAUGAUAAGAAAUUAAAAGCGCGCGGAAAGUUCUCAGACAUGAAUCCAAAAGCUCGAUGAGUUGAAGGGUGCCUAAAAAAUGCACCCGAUUUCACCCUGCUACGCCAAUCCUGCCAGGAUGCGGACGGGAAGACCUCUGGUUUUCGAAGUUACUCAGAGUCAUCUUUUACUACAAAAGUGAAUUUUUCUUUAGCUCGAUGAGUUGAGCGUUUCUGCAGCCGCCGCCCGGUCUAUUACUUCUUUGUAAAAAAAAACUAAAAGUUAAAAUUUCCUACUGCUGUGAUGAUCUAUGCCUUUCCUGAGAUAAUGUUUGAGGAAAAUUGCUCUCUUGUAAGAAACACAAAUGGACUUUAUCACUGCAAUCUCAGGUUAAUGUCAAUUUGGAAGUAAUUGUAUUGCAGUACCUGCAUUGAAGUAGAGAACGGAGAGCUGUAGCAACUGGAAUAGAACCUUGCAGGUGUCGUCAUCAAAAUAAGCUAAAAUUCCACAAAGGUGAUUUUGUCCAUCAUGCAAUCAAGUCUGCGACAAGUUGCCAAAAUUUUAUAUUCAGCUUGUUGUCAUGCUGCUCUUUUCCAUUCAAAAUGACUCUAGUAAUAUUUUUGAAUACAAGUUUGAUAAUUAUAAGAUCAAACAAUUACCACAUCCAAAAUGUGAAAAGUACCUAAUGGCUGCCUGUAUUGCCGAAUGGCCAUGUUGGAAUUCCAAACCAACUUCAUGCAAUCAUAAUUCUAUCAUUUGUCACAAGGUACAUAUACCUAAUAACAAAGAAAACUGCAAACCAUAUAAUGAAGGAUACGAGCAAUUUUAGAAGAGAAAACGAAAACCAAGAGAACGCAAAGUAAUCCCACAAGAAAUCAAAGAAAACAACAAUCAAUUUAAGUUGCUCUGAU